Molecule: ribosomal RNA, 651 nt
Filed under: Salmonella enterica subsp. enterica serovar Chester
Lineage: Bacteria; Pseudomonadati; Pseudomonadota; Gammaproteobacteria; Enterobacterales; Enterobacteriaceae
Description: partial 23S ribosomal RNA
Rfam family: Bacterial large subunit ribosomal RNA
Source: RNAcentral
UGUUUGAUGUUCUAACGUGGACCCGUGAUCCGGGUUGCGGACAGUGUCUGGUGGGUAGUUUGACUGGGGCGGUCUCCUCCUAAAGAGUAACGGAGGAGCACGAAGGUUGGCUAAUCCUGGUCGGACAUCAGGAGGUUAGUGCAAUGGCAUAAGCCAGCUUGACUGCGAGCGUGACGGCGCGAGCAGGUGCGAAAGCAGGUCAUAGUGAUCCGGUGGUUCUGAAUGGAAGGGCCAUCGCUCAACGGAUAAAAGGUACUCCGGGGAUAACAGGCUGAUACCGCCCAAGAGUUCAUAUCGACGGCGGUGUUUGGCACCUCGAUGUCGGCUCAUCACAUCCUGGGGCUGAAGUAGGUCCCAAGGGUAUGGCUGUUCGCCAUUUAAAGUGGUACGCGAGCUGGGUUUAGAACGUCGUGAGACAGUUCGGUCCCUAUCUGCCGUGGGCGCUGGAGAACUGAGGGGGGCUGCUCCUAGUACGAGAGGACCGGAGUGGACGCAUCACUGGUGUUCGGGUUGUCAUGCCAAUGGCACUGCCCGGUAGCUAAAUGCGGAAGAGAUAAGUGCUGAAAGCAUCUAAGCACGAAACUUGCCCCGAGAUGAGUUCUCCCUGAGACUUUAGGUCUCCUGAAGGAACGUUGAAGACGACGACGUUGA